AGACGUCUACAUUAGAUACCCGGGUAGUCCCAGCCGUAAACUAUGCGCGUUAGGUGUAUCGGUGACCACGAGUUACCGAGGUGCCGAAGGGAAACCGUGAAACGUGCCGCCUGGGAAGUACGGUCGCAAGGCUGAAACUUAAAGGAAUUGGCGGGGAGCACCACAACAGGUGGAGCCUGCGGUUUAAUUGGACUCAACGCCGGGAAGCUCACCGGAUAGGACAGCAGAAUGAUUGCCGGGCUGAAGACUCUGCAUGACUAGCUG
Molecule: ribosomal RNA, 264 nt
Filed under: uncultured archaeon
Lineage: Archaea
Description: partial 16S ribosomal RNA
Rfam family: Archaeal small subunit ribosomal RNA
Source: RNAcentral